RNAcentral lists this ribosomal RNA (621 nucleotides) under uncultured deep-sea bacterium. Its description in RNAcentral is "bacterial SSU rRNA". It matches the Rfam family "Bacterial small subunit ribosomal RNA", at positions 883 to 1498 of the family's 1533-position model. The record is from RNAcentral.
GGGCCGCAAGGUUAAAACUCAAAGAAAUUGACGGGGGCCUGCACAAGCGGUGGAGUAUGUGGCUUAAUUCGAUGCAACGCGAAGAACCUUACCUGGCCUUGACAUGCAUCUCUAAGCGUGUGAAAGCACGUGAGCUCUUCGGAGCAAUUUGCACAGGUGCUGCAUGGCUGUCGUCAGCUCGUGUCGUGAGAUGUUGGGUUAAGUCCCGCAACGAGCGCAACCCUUGUGUCCUGUUGCCACCCUCUUCGGAGGAGCACUCUGGACAGACUGCCAGGUUCCAACCUGGAGGAAGGUGGGGAUGACGUCAAGUCAGUAUGGCCCUUACGGCCAGGGCUGCACACGUACUACAAUGCCCGGCACAGAGGGAAGCAAGACCGCAAGGUGGAGCAAAUCCCUAAAAACCGGGCUCAGUUCGGAUUGUCGUCUGCAACUCGACGGCAUGAAGCUGGAAUCGCUAGUAAUGGCGCAUCAGCUACGGCGCCGUGAAUACGUUCCCAGGCCUUGUACACACCGCCCGUCACAUCAUGAAAGCCGGUUAUACCCGAAGUCGCCCAGCUAACCCGCAAGGGAGGCAGGCGCCGAAGGUAAGACUGGUGAUUGGGAUGAAGUCGUAACAAGGUA